RNA transcript from Ananas comosus (pineapple), 3103 nucleotides. It is a transcript of the gene named V-type proton ATPase subunit a3-like, with no coding region annotated. The record is from RefSeq and is a predicted model, not a curated record. The transcript is spliced from 19 exons. NCBI's taxonomy places the organism in Eukaryota, Viridiplantae, Streptophyta, Magnoliopsida, Poales, Bromeliaceae.
AUCUCAUGCUCCCACGUGUACAUUCACCACCACAAGAGGAUAGAACAAUAAGAAGAAGAAGGAUCACGUCGUUGCGUCGCCGAUCCCCUCCCGACCAUUCGAUCGAUCCCUCUUCACGGGAUCACCCUUCUUCUUCUUCUUCUUCUUCUUCUUCUUCUUCUCCGAUCGAAGGGCAUAGAGGGCGAUUUGAUCUCCGAUUAGGGUUUCGAUCGCGGAGGAGAAGCGAGUCGGAGGGGGUGGAGGAGGAGUAGAGAAAUGGGGGAUCUGAGGGAGCCGCGGAGGGGGUGUUGCCCCCCGAUGGAGCUGAUGCGGUCGGAGGCGAUGCAGCUCGUGCAGAUCAUCAUCCCGAUCGAGUCCUCGCACCUCACCAUGUCCUACCUCGGCAACCUCGGGCUCCUCCAAUUCAAAGAUCUUAAUGCAGAUAAGAGUCCCUUUCAACGCACAUAUGCUAACCAGAUUAAACGAUGCGGAGAAAUGGCUCGCAAGUUGAGACUUUUCAAGGAACAAAUGACAAAAGCAGGCAUAGUACCUUCCGCAAUGCCUGUGACACAAACUCAAGUUGAUUUUGAUGACUUGGAGAUAAAACUCGGUGAUCUUGAAGCUGAGUUAAUUGAAGUUAAUGCAAAUAAUGAAAAGUUGCAACGUACUUAUAAUGAAUUACUGGAAUAUAUGCUAGUUCUACAGAAGGGUGGUGAAUUUUUCCAAUCAGCUCAAAGCAGAGCUACAGCCCAACAGAGGGAAAUUGAAGCGCAUCAACCUGGCGAUGCUUCUCUUGACAGUCCUUUGUUACUAGAGCAGGAAAUGUUAACAGAUCCGUCAAAGCAAGUAAAACUUGGGUUUAUCAGUGGUCUUGUUCCGAAAGACAAGUCAAUGGCUUUUGAAAGAAUCUUGUUUCGUGCUACCAGGGGCAAUGUGUUCAUUAGACAAGAGCCAAUUGAUAAUCCAGUCACUGACCCAGUGUCAGGAGAAAAGGUUGCAAAAAAUGUAUUCAUCAUCUUUUACUCUGGGGAGAGAGCAAAAGCCAAGAUUUUAAAGAUAUGCGAAGCUUUUGGAGCAAAUCGUUAUCCGUUCACUGAAGAUAUAGGCAAGCAAAUGCAGAUGAUUCUGGAGGUCUCAGGAAAAAUUGCAGAGCUGAAGACUACAAUUGAUGUUGGAUUGCUUCAUCGUGACACUAUACUCAAAAAUAUUGCUCAUCAGUUUGAACAAUGGAAUCAAUUGGUAAGGGAGGAGAAAUCAAUAUAUCACACUUUAAAUAUGCUAAGCCUUGAUGUGACAAAGAAAUGUUUAGUUGCUGAGGGUUGGAGCCCUGUUUUUGCAACAACUCAGAUUCAAGAAGCAUUGCAGAGGGCUACUCGUGAUAGCAAUUCCCAAGUGGGCUCAAUUUUCCAAGUUCUCCAUACUAGAGAAUCUCCUCCUACGUAUUUCAAAACGAACAAAUUCACUUCAGCUUUUCAGGAAAUUGUUGAUGCUUAUGGGAUCGCUAAGUACCAAGAAGCAAAUCCUGGAGUGUUCACUAUUGUUACAUUUCCUUUCCUCUUUGCGGUCAUGUUUGGAGAUUGGGGUCAUGGCCUUUGCUUAUUACUUGGAACAUUGUUCCUCAUAGUCCGAGAAAAGAAACUAUCUUCACAGAAGCUCGGAGAUAUCAUGGAAAUGAUGUUUGGUGGACGCUAUGUGAUUAUGAUGAUGGCACUAUUCUCAAUUUACACUGGAUUAAUCUAUAAUGAGUUCUUUUCUGUCCCAUUUGAACUCUUCGGUAAAUCGGCCUAUGCAUGCCGUGAUCCGUCAUGUAGUGAUGCUACUACUGUGGGCUUGAUUAAGGUGAGGCGUACCUACCCAUUCGGGGUGGAUCCUGAGUGGCAUGGCAGCCGAAGCGAGCUCCCUUUCCUCAACUCAUUGAAGAUGAAGAUGUCCAUCCUUAUUGGGGUUGCACAAAUGAAUCUCGGUAUUAUUUUAAGUUAUUUUAAUGCGACGUUCUUCAGGAACGGUCUCAACAUCUGGUACCAGUUUAUUCCUCAGUUGAUCUUCUUGAAUAGCCUCUUUGGUUAUUUGUCUCUCCUCAUCAUUGUAAAAUGGUGCACCGGCUCACAAUCUGAUUUGUAUCAUGUGAUGAUAUAUAUGUUCCUCAGUCCAACUGAUGAGCUUGGUGAGAACCAGCUAUUUCCUGGCCAGAAAACACUGCAGCUUGUUUUACUUGUACUCGCCCUUAUUUCUGUGCCAUGGAUGUUAUUCCCAAAGCCGUUGCUCUUGAAGAAGCAGCACCAAGAAAGACACCAAGGCCAAACAUACACUGCGCUUCAGAGCACGGAGGAAUCACUCGAGGUGGAUCACAGUCAUGAUUCCAACGGCCAUGAGGAGUUUGAGUUUAGCGAAGUUUUCGUGCACCAGAUGAUCCACACAAUUGAGUUUGUUCUUGGUGCUGUCUCUAAUACUGCUUCAUAUCUUCGUCUGUGGGCGCUCAGUCUUGCCCAUUCGGAGCUUUCUGCUGUGUUCUACGAGAAAGUCCUGCUCCUUGCGUGGGGGUACAAUAAUGUAAUCAUUCUCAUAGUCGGCAUAAUUGUGUUCGUCGCUGCCACUGUCGGCGUCUUACUUGUAAUGGAAACAUUGAGCGCCUUUCUACAUGCUCUGAGGCUUCAUUGGGUGGAGUUCCAGAACAAGUUCUACGAGGGCGACGGUUACAAGUUCGCACCGUUUUCCUUUGUAUUGGUUGGCGAGGAAGACGAGUGAACCAAAGUAAUCUCAGAUAUCAUUUGAGAAAAUAAGUGUGAGAUUUUGGACUAUAUUUAGCUCCCUUUGUAAUUUAUUCUUCUAUUGAAGGGAGUUCUACAAUUCUGCUUCACUGUAACAAAAGGCUAUGUGAGGGUGGAUUAGUAUCGUAUUAUCCGCAGGGUUAUCCGGUUCCACCCUGGUAUAAUAUUUAUUUUGACAUUCUGGGGCCUCGGAGAGCGCAAUGAGGCUAGAGCGGGGUAAUAAAAUAUUUCAUCGCAUCUGAUGACGUUAUUAUUUUCGUGACAGUCUAUGCAUUUUGAGUCAGGUACAACUUUGUUGAACAUAAAUAAUUACUUCUUGGGCCAGUCUAUGCAUUGUGGCUCAUGUGGAAUUCUUA